This 2496-nucleotide long non-coding RNA is filed under the name Volvox carteri. RNAcentral describes it as "long non-coding RNA (VCAR_LNC002955)". The record is from RNAcentral. Lineage: Eukaryota; Viridiplantae; Chlorophyta; Chlorophyceae; Chlamydomonadales; Volvocaceae.
AGACAGGCAGACACAAGCAGGUGAUGUUGGGGUAACAAAAACACACAGACAACCACACAAUCACAGCACUGUUGGGGCACAUGGUGGAGUUGGGGUAACAUGAAAACAUGCACACACACAGACAGAGAGAGAGACACACACACACACACAGAGAGAGAGAGAGAGAGACACACACACACACACAGAGACACACACAUACACGCAUACAAGCACACAGAGAGAGAGACACACACAUACAUACACACACACAGAGUCUCACACACAUACACACACACACACACACAGUCUCACACACACAGUCACACACACAUACACGCACACAGUCACACACACACACAGUCUCACACAUACAUGUACACACACACACAUUGUAGCAAGCUACAUUUCCCAUAGAAUAUUUCAACGAUUACUCUUGACAAUAACUGUUAAUUCGUUAAUGAUUCGACUCGAGUUUUGUACAUGUUAUGAGUUUCGUCACAUGUCUCGAACAUGGCGGUUGUUCGCAGCAAACCCUUAGAAUACUUCAACGAUUACUCUUGACAAUAACUGUUAUUUCGUUAAUGAUUCGACCCGAGUUUCGUACAUGUUACGAGUUUCGUCACAUGUCUCGAACAUGGCGGUUGUUCGUAGCAAACCUAAUGGGCUGGGGCCCCGGGGCCCCACCGACAUUAUCCUAGUACGGCAGGACCAUGGUAGGGAAUGUCCGGCAGGUAGGCCGAGAUAUAAGCUACCCGGGCGGGGUGCACUGGCCAGACACUGAAGUAUCACGAAUACUAGGUGUUCGGAGUUCAAGUCUCCGCUGCCGCCAUAUAGAUUGUUUUUGUAUACGCGUCUAUGCAGACUAGUGCUUGCCUCGGCGAGGACUGUCAACUCAACGCUUCCGGGUAACAGGCUGUUGGGAGUUAGAGAUUGAUCAACGUCAUGACCAACCUAACAGCUGUGAGCACACAGCACGCACCUGCAGGCUUUGUGACUGCAGGGCGGUUCAAGGCGAAAUGCAUGCCUUUGUGAAAUGCCCGGUGUACACUAGUACACGGGCUAAGUACGAACAUGACCUCGCGUUUCAAGGGUUCAACGUGCACACGAUUUCACUGAGGCCCCACCCCUGGCACUAGCCAGGUUCCCCUCGGAAGUCUGGGAGACCCGGCACGUUGCUCUAUGGCGCUUCAUAUGCUCAAGUGGACGAGGGAGGACAAUGAUGGUCCACCAUGUAACUGCACUUCAAACGAUUUACCGUCCAUGGGCACGCCAGCUUUUAUGGACAACCCCGCACUUGUAUGGAACUUGUAACACACUCAAACACAUACAAAGACAGACACACAGACACACCCACCCACCCAUUUCAGUCAAACACACACACACACACAGACAGACAGACACACGGACAGACAAACAGAGACAGACAAAAGGAGAGACACANNNNNNNNNNNNNNNNNNNNNNNNNNNNNNNNNNNNNNNNNNNNNNNNNNUCUCCGAGCUUAAGUUUUCCCAAAGCUCUCAGCCCAGUGCAGAGAGACUGUACGUCCUGUACUUGAUCAAGUACUGCACAUACAGUCUCUCUGCACUGGGCUGUGAGCUUUGGAAAAUAUAAAAGAUACCCGUGGGAGCAUUUNUUAGUCAUGAAGCUUCAGACUUAAGUCAGACUCUUCAUCUAUCUUCAUCUAGCUAUCCAUGCCUACGUACCUAAUCUAUCGAGAUAGACAGACAAACAGACAGAUGGGUAGUUGUAUACAAACAGACAGACAGACAGGCAGACACAAGCAGGUGAUGUUGGGGUAACAAAAACACACAGACAACCACACAAUCACAGCACUGUUGGGGCACAUGGUGGAGUUGGGGUAACAUGAAAACAUGCACACACACAGACAGAGAGAGAGAGACACACACACACACACACACACAGAGAGAGAGAGACACACACACACACACACAGACACACACACACACACAGAGAGACACACACACACAUAGACACACACACACACACAGAGAGAGACACAUACACGCACACAAGCACACAGAGAGAGAGAGACACACACACAUAGAUACACACACAGAGUCUCACACACACACAGAGUCUCACACACACAGUCACACACACAUACACGCACACAGUCACACACACACAGUCUCACACAUACAUGUACACACACAUUGUAGCAAGCUACAUUUCCCAUAGAAUAUUUCAACGAUUACUCUUGACAAUAACUGUUAAUUCGUUAAUGAUUCGACUCGAGUUUUGUACAUGUUAUGAGUUUCGUCACAUGUCUCGAACAUGGCGGUUGUUCGCAGCAAACCCUUAGAAUACUUCAACGAUUACUCUUGACAAUAACUGUUAUUUCGUUAACGAUUCGACCCGAGUUUCGUACAUGUUACGAGUUUCGUCACAUGUCUCGAAUAUGGCGGUUGUUCGUAGCAAACCUAAUGGGCUGGGGCCCCGGGGCCCCACCGACAUUAUCCUAGUACUGCAGGACCAUGGUAGGGAAUGUCCGGCAG